RNAcentral lists this ribosomal RNA (402 nucleotides) under uncultured Prevotella sp. RNAcentral's name for it is "bacterial SSU rRNA". It matches the Rfam family "Bacterial small subunit ribosomal RNA", at positions 338 to 755 of the family's 1533-position model. Lineage: Bacteria; Pseudomonadati; Bacteroidota; Bacteroidia; Bacteroidales; Prevotellaceae. The record is from RNAcentral.
CCUACGGGAGGCAGCAGUGGGGAAUAUUGCACAAUGGGGGGGACCCUGAUGCAGCAACGCCGCGUGAAGGAAGAAGGCUCUUGGGUCGUAAACUUCUGUCCUGGAGGAAGAAAGAAAUGACGGUACUCCUGGAGGAAGCCCCGGCUAACUACGUGCCAGCAGCCGCGGUAAUACGUAGGGGGCAAGCGUUAUCCGGAAUUAUUGGGCGUAAAGCGUGCGUAGGUGGUUUUUUAAGCGCGGGGUAUAAGGCUACGGCUCAACUGUAGUUGGCCCUGUGAACUGGGAGACUUGAGUACAGGAGAGGAAAGCGGAAUUCCUAGUGUAGCGGUGAAAUGCGUAGAUAUUAGGAAGAACACCAGUGGCGAAGGCGGCUUUCUGGACUGAAACUGACACUAAGGCACG